Olea europaea var. sylvestris is the source of this 2300-nucleotide long non-coding RNA. RefSeq lists it as uncharacterized. Lineage: Eukaryota; Viridiplantae; Streptophyta; Magnoliopsida; Lamiales; Oleaceae. The record is from RefSeq and is a predicted model, not a curated record. The transcript is spliced from 2 exons.
UUGGAAUUGAAACCACGGAAUUCCCAAAUCCAAACUGCAACUUUCUCUCAGCCUCUCAAUCUUCGACUCUCCGCUCAUCCCUGAGUCUCUCGCGACCUCCCUGACUCGACACCUCAACGGCUGAUGCCUUCCAUCGACAGAAGAAGAAGGUUAAGAAGGAAGGUCCUUCGUCCAUUCGUUUCUCGGCCUCUUCGUCUGAUAAGUGCUAAGUGGUUCCGCGUGCAUGUGAGAGGGGGUAAACAAUUUGGUACACCUUUGAAUGUACAAAUAGAAUUAUACAAAAUUGUAUUGUAAAUUUCCGUGAUCCUCAACUUCUUUUUUCAAUCCCUCAGAUGAAUGCCAGAUUUAGAGACAACAUUAAUCAUCAUUUUGAGUUCAACAGAAACAUCUAAAUAGUGUUGUACUGGGAUUGAAUGUGCAGUGGUUCUUUCAAGGCUUCACGGAUUUUAGUUGUUUUCUAGCUGCAAUGUAUUUCCAAUAAGAGCAUACUUGGAUGUGGUUAGAAGUUAUGUAACUACUACUUUCUAGAAAUUAAGUUUUUCGGUCAAAAGAGUAUCUUUGCUAAACCACAAUUGCACAAAAAAAACCUAUAUUUGCAUUUACAUAACUUUUUCUCUAAUAUAUCUUUGUUUUGUUCAGUGUUGGAUAGUAUCUUUGCCUACAAUGGGCAAAGAGUGGCUGAAAAACAUUAUCAUCUAAAAUUAGAUAUUAUGGAUCUAGAUAUCAAAAAAAUAAAAAUAAAAAAGGAAAAAAAGUAUAAUGAUCAUAAAGUUUUUGUUGUAGAUUUUUGGGACAAUAUAGAGAUGAAGCCAGGAAUUUUGUUAAAUGAGCUUGUGAAAAUUACAAUUUAGAAAUGAAAGUAUGCCCCUGUGUUCCUUAGUCACAUAGGAUGUUUGAGGACUUUUAUAUGCAACAUUAUAUGGAUCUGAAAACCCUCUUGAUGGGAGAGCGAAAGAGAUUGAAAAUUUAGUUGAUGAUGUUGAAACGCCUUUAUAUCCUGGUUGUAAGGUGCUCACGAAAAUGUUAGCUUUUGUUUCUAUAUUUAAGGAUAAAGUUUCAGAUGGUUUAUCGGACAGUGGUUUCAAUGAACUCAUAUAUCUUGUUCGAGACAUGUUGCCAAAGAAUAAUACACUUCCAAACACAUUUUAUAUGAUGAAAAACUUGUCAAUACAUUUGAUCUUGGCUAUGAGAAGAUACAUGUUUGUGUGAAUGAUUGUUGUCUAUGUAGAAAAGAGCUUGAACGGGUUUAAUUAUGUCCAAAAUGUGGCUGGUCAAGAGGGAAAGUUAACCAAUGAACUAAAAAAUUCAGAAGAAAAUUCCAGCAAAAGUUGCGUUAUUUUCCUAUAAUACCACGACUUUAGAGGAUAUUCGAAAUAUAAGAGAUGGCAAUACAAUUGAGAUGCAAUCAAUUAAUAAAAUUUCAGAUGGUAAAAUUAAGCAUUUAGUUGAUUCAUUGAAUUGGGAAAUAAUUAACAGGAGGUGUCCACAUUUUGCAUCAGAUCCUCCAAAGAUUAGAGCUGGCUACGUAUGGAUUUAAUCUUUUCAAAAAUCUUAGCUCUAAAUAUAGUUGUUGGCCACUAAUUUUAACUAUAUAUAACUUGUCUUCCUCAUUAUGCAUGUCAAAGGAAAGUUUGAUGCCAAGUUUAUUGAUCUCGAAACCAAAGCGGACAGGCAAUGACAUAUAUGUUUAUUUGGACUACUUGUAGACGACUUAUUAUUGUUAUGGAGUGAUGAAGCUGAGAUGUAUGAUGCAAUCACAAAGUCUACAUUUAAUUUAAAAGCUAUUUUGAUGUAGACAAUACAUGACUUCCCCACACAUGGAAAUAUAUCUGGAUGGCUCAUUAAGGGAAAAAUUGUUUGCCAUAUUUGUCAUGAUCAUUAUGGUUGAUGCAUGGUAGGACAUUUCCGUACAUGACACAGAGAAGAUUUCUCACCUUCAAUCAUCAAUUUUGCAUGAAAGGAAGCUGGUGCAAGGGACAUAUUGAAAUAGGUAUUAGGCCGAAGAUAACAAAUGAUGAAGAAGAUUCUAUUGAAGUUGAUACAAUUACAAAUGAUUGGGUAAAAAUGGUAAACGAAAGAGGAAGAAGAAUAUAACUCAAUCUAAUGUAACGAGAAAGAAAAAGUGUAUAUUUGUCAAUCUAUCAUAUUGGAAGGUAAUUGUUGUAAUAUUUAAUAAUUCUACUUUCAUGUACUUAAUAUAACACCAUGGAGGUUUGAUUUGCAGAUUUUAUUUAUAUGUCAUAAUUUGGAUGUGAUACAUGUGAAGAAGAUAUAUGUGUAGUAACGUAAGGAUUUGAAAA